Molecule: small RNA, 159 nt
Filed under: Streptomyces uncialis
Lineage: Bacteria; Bacillati; Actinomycetota; Actinomycetes; Kitasatosporales; Streptomycetaceae
Description: gntR-DTE RNA
Rfam family: gntR-DTE RNA
Source: Rfam by way of RNAcentral
CGGGUAAGGGCCGUCGGCGGCACACCUUGCUCGUGUGACAGCUCUGGAGAACACCCGCGCGGAUCAUCCCUCCCUUGCGGGGAGGCCAACCGUGCAUGGGUGCCACCUGCCACAUGGCCGCCCUGCUGUCGCGUCAGAGCAGUGACGAUGACGCCCCGG